CCCUUAGACGUUCUGGGCCGCACGCGCGCUACACUGACCAGUGCAACAAGCAUCCGUCCUUGGCCGACAGGCUCGGGCAAUCUUUGAACGCUGGUCGUGAUGGGGAUAGACUUUUGCAAUUUUUGGUCUUCAACGAGGAAUUCCUAGUAAACGCAAGUCAUAAACUUGCAUUGAUUACGUCCCUGCCCUUUGUACACACCGCCCGUCGCACCUACCGAUUGAAUGGUCCGGUGAAGCCUCCGGAUUGGCGCGCACCUCGGUGCCGCCGAGAAGUUGGCUAAACCUUACCAUUUAGAGGAAGGUGAAGUCGUAACA
RNAcentral lists this ribosomal RNA (315 nucleotides) under uncultured eukaryote. RNAcentral describes it as "partial 18S ribosomal RNA". It matches the Rfam family "Eukaryotic small subunit ribosomal RNA", at positions 1470 to 1796 of the family's 1831-position model. The record is from RNAcentral.